Castor canadensis (American beaver) is the source of this 1152-nucleotide non-coding RNA. Lineage: Eukaryota; Metazoa; Chordata; Mammalia; Rodentia; Castoridae. The record is from RefSeq and is a predicted model, not a curated record.
ACAAUCAUUUAUAAAUUAAAGUGCUGUGUAAAAUAUUCACCAUAUAGUUUUAUUCAAGUAGAAAUUAUGUAUUAACAUACUUGUUCUUAUUAAUCUUCUCUAGAGAAAAUCUCUUCAUGAAAACAAAUUGAAGAGACUACAGGAGAAAGUAGAAGUCUUGGAGGCAAAGAUAGAAGAAUUGGAAACAGAAAAUCAGGUGUUGAAUAGACAAAAUGUUCCAUUUGAAGAAUAUACAAGACUUCAAAAAAGACUAAAGGAUAUACAGAGAAGACAUAAUGAAUUUCGAAGUCUAAUUUUGGUUCCUAGCAUGCCUCCAACAGCAUGUAUCAAUCCUGCUAGCUUUCAGUCACCAGCCAUGGUUUCAGGCGUGGAGCUGUCUUUUCCUCCUCAAAUGCAGGAAGAACAGCAUCAAAGGGAACUCUCUCUACUUCGCAAAAGACUAGAAGAACUAGAAACAACACAAAGAAAACAACUAGAGGAACUUGGAUCUCCUGGGGAGUGAUAUUCUUGGAGAAAAGGCAGAUAGAUCAAAAGGGGUGAAAUCAGAGACCCAAUAAAGCAUGAAGUUUAACAUAUGUGGCAUUGAGAUACUUUAUUACUGUUUGCCAAAAUGCAUGAGUGUGCCUCAAGAAAAGGUACCAGCUACAUGUUACAUUCAUGAGUAUCAGGAUUUUAGGAUUAUACUAAUGACCAGUGAUACUGGUCAUUUCUUUUAAUGUUAAAAGAAACAUUUAGAAACUAUAUUGACAACCCUUGAGAAUAUAAAAAUAAACAAAAGGAACGAAUUAAGGAAUCAAGUUUUGGAAUUAUUAAUUUUACUUUGUUGAAUUUUUUUGGGCCUGAAAUAUGCCCAUCUCAGAUUCCCUUUUCCUCAUCUUUGGGAUGCUUAAACAUAAAAGUAAACAUCUUUUGGUUUGCUAUACACAAGAAUUACAAACCUCUAGUUUUUGGGAAAAAGAUGAUUUGAAAGACAGCAUAAAAAAAUUUAAAGAUAUAUAUAACUUAAAGAUAUAUAUAUGUUCAUUACAAAAGGCUACCUUUUAAAAAAGCUGUAUACAUAAUUUAUUAAAGAGCUUAAUAAAUAUUUUUUUAUCUAACUAUUGUUUUGUGCUUGAUUUCAUUUUGACCACAGAGUGUAUAUUUAAUAAUUUA